UACGUAGGCAGCAAGCGUUGUUCGGAGUUACUGGGCGUAAAGGGUGUGUAGGCGGUUCACUAAGUUCGGUGUGAAAUCUCCCGGCUUAACUGGGAGGGUGCAUUGAAAACUGGUGGGCUUGAGUAUGGGAGAGGUAAGCGGAAUUCCUGGUGUAGCGGUGAAAUGCGUAGAUAUCAGGAGGAACACCUGUGGUGUAGACAGCUUACUGGACCAUCACUGACGCUGAGACACGAAAGCGUGGGUAG
Molecule: ribosomal RNA, 245 nt
Filed under: uncultured bacterium
Lineage: Bacteria
Description: partial 16S ribosomal RNA
Rfam family: Bacterial small subunit ribosomal RNA
Source: RNAcentral